CAAGUGCUUUGAACACAUUGGGGCUUAAUAGAUAUUAUUACUAUUCCUAAAGCCUUGAAAAACAUGGACGAAUCCAUAGAUGGUGGCAGGCCUGUUGAAAUCUACAAGAAAAACAAGCAUGUACUCCCUGGGUAUUGAGAGAUUUUUUCUCUUUACAUAGAAUACUGAGGAAGUGCCACAGGCUUUCAAAGACUCCAUCUUUUCUAGAAGAGAAAUAAUUGAGGAAACUAUUUUCUGUUCCUGGCAAGAAUAGUUGACAAGAUCACAAGGAGCAAGAAACUGAGGAGAUCGAGUAAUAAGGAAUCAAUCCUGGUUCACACUUAAGUGCACACUGAAGUCACCCAAGAAAUCCUGCUGACCGACCGACUUGACUACCUUUAAUUUCCUGGUUAUGAAUGCCGGAAUGUCCAUCUUUCUGGGGGAACUGGGGACAUGGAUCAACUUAAAAACAUCAGGAAUAAAGGUGUGCUCACCACGGGACUGAUGAAAGGGAAAUAAAUGACGGCCCUGUUUUCCUUCCUUGUGAAGAGUGUGGCAGCUUCUCUGAGUCAUGACAUACACCCACAAAGGCUAAUCAACAGGUGAGUACAGAAAAUAUUUAUCACUCAUUACAAUUAGCUGGAAAAGUGGGACUUUUCCAUCUGGGAACAAAGCAUCUUCGUUUUCACUUUGCACUUACUGAAUCCCUCCACGUCCACAUUUUUUUAUAAAAUGUAAUAACUGC
This 724-nucleotide long non-coding RNA is filed under the name Ornithorhynchus anatinus (platypus). RNAcentral's name for it is "lncRNA (ENSOANG00000050859.1)". Lineage: Eukaryota; Metazoa; Chordata; Mammalia; Monotremata; Ornithorhynchidae. The record is from RNAcentral.